AAUUAUAUAGUCUAAGUAAGGAUCUUAAAUUGCAAAUUUAAGGGUAAAUAAAAUUUUAUAAUUU
This 64-nucleotide transfer RNA is filed under the name Arachnobas tricolor. RNAcentral describes it as "tRNA-Cys". Lineage: Eukaryota; Metazoa; Arthropoda; Insecta; Coleoptera; Curculionidae. The record is from RNAcentral.